This 452-nucleotide ribosomal RNA is filed under the name uncultured Methanomicrobiales archaeon. RNAcentral's name for it is "bacterial SSU rRNA". It matches the Rfam family "Archaeal small subunit ribosomal RNA", at positions 889 to 1338 of the family's 1478-position model. Lineage: Archaea; Methanobacteriati; Methanobacteriota; Methanomicrobia; Methanomicrobiales. The record is from RNAcentral.
UGGAGCCUGCGGUUUAAUCGGACUCAAACGCCGGGAAACUCACCAGAUAAGACAGCUGAAUGAUAGUCGGGCUGAAGACUCUACUUGACUAGCUGAGAGGAGGUGCAUGGCCGUCGUCAGUUCGUACUGUGAAGCAUCCUGUUAAGUCAGGCAACGAGCGAGACCCACGCCAACAGUUGCCAGCUCGUCCUCCGGGAUGGUGGGGACACUGUUGGGACCGCCUCUGCUAAAGAGGAGGAAGGAAUGGGCAACGGUAGGUCAGUAUGCCCCGAAUAUCCCGGGCUACACGCGAGCUACAAUGGUUGGGACAAUGGGUAUCGACACCGAAAGGUGAAGGCAAUCUCCUAAACCCAUCCGUAGUUCGGAUUGUGGGCUGCAACUCGCCCACAUGAAGCUGGAAUCUGUAGUAAUCGUGUCUCAAAAUGGCACGGUGAAUAUGUCCCCUGCUCCUU